AGGAUGAUCCGCCACACUGGGACUGAGACACUGCCCAGACUCCUACGGGAGGCUGCAGUCGAGAAUCAUUGUCAAUGCACGAAAGUGUGAACAUGCGACGCCGCGUGGAGGAAGACGGCCUUUGGGUUGUAAACUCCUGUCAGCAGGGAGUAAGGAUAAAUCACUUAAUACGUGUUUUAUUUGAUAGUACCUGCAGAGGAAGUCACGGCUAACUCUGUGCCAGCAGCCGCGGUAAUACAGAGGUGGCGAACGUUGUUCGGAUUUACUGGGCGUAAAGGGUCCGCAGGCGGUCUUGUGUGUCAGAUGUGAAAGCCCACAGCUUAACUGUGGAAUUGCAUUUGAAACUGCAGGACUAGAGUACUGGAGGGGAGAAGGGAACACUUGGUGUAGCGGUGAAAUGCGUAGAUAUCAAGUGGAACACCGGCGGCGAAGGCGCUUCUCUGGACAGAUACUGACGCUCAUGGACGAAAGUUAGGGUAGCGAAAGGGAUUAGAUACCCCUGUAGUCCUAACCGUAAACGGUGUGCACUAGGCGUGGGAGGCUUUACCCCCUUCCGUGCCUGAGCUAACGCAUUAAGUGCACCGCCUGGGGAGUACGGUCGCAAGAUUAAAACUCAAAGGAAUUGACGGGGACCCGCACAAGCGGUGGAGCAUGCGGCUUAAUUCGAUGCAACGCGAAGAACCUUACCUGGGCUUGACAUAACACUGCAUACGAUCCGAAAGGAACAUAGCCUUCGAGGGUGUGUUACAGGUGCUGCAUGGCUGUCGUCAGCUCGUGCCGUGAGGUGUUGGGUUAAGUCCCGCAACGAGCGCAACCCCUGUGUUUAGUUGCCAGCACGUAAUGGUGGGAACUCUAAACAGACUGCUUGUGAAAACAAGAGGAAGGUGGGGAUGACGUCAAGUCAGUAUGGUCCUUAUGUCCAGGGCUGCACGCGUGCUACAAUGGGAUGUACAAUGGGAGGCUAAGCCGCGAGGUGGAGCAAAUCCUCAAAACAUCCCCCAGUUCGGAUUGGAGUCUGAAACUCGACUCCAUGAAGUUGGAAUCGCUAGUAAAGGUAUAUCAGCUACGAUACCUUGAAUACGUUCCCGGGUCUUGUACACACCGCCCGUCACAUCAUGGAAGUCUGUUGCAACCGAAGUUGUUGAUCCAACCUCUCACGAGGAGGAAGGCACCUAAGGUGUGAUAGGUAACUGGGAUGAAGUCGUAACAAGGUA
This 1214-nucleotide ribosomal RNA is filed under the name metagenome. Its description in RNAcentral is "bacterial SSU rRNA". It matches the Rfam family "Bacterial small subunit ribosomal RNA", at positions 297 to 1498 of the family's 1533-position model. The record is from RNAcentral.